CGCUAGUAAUCGCGGAUCAGAAUGCCGCGGUGAAUACGUUCCCGGGUCUUGUACACACCGCCCGUCACACCAUGGGAGUCGGAAAUGCCCGAAGUCUGUGACCUAACCGCAAGGGAGGAGCAGCCGAAGGCAGGUCGGAUGACUGGGGUGAAGUCGUAACAAGGUACC
Molecule: ribosomal RNA, 168 nt
Filed under: uncultured bacterium
Lineage: Bacteria
Description: partial 16S ribosomal RNA
Rfam family: Bacterial small subunit ribosomal RNA
Source: RNAcentral